AGUGAACGCUGGCGGUAGGCCUAACACAUGCAAGUCGAACGGCAGCACAGUAAGAGCUUGCUCUUACGGGUGGCGAGUGGCGGACGGGUGAGGAAUACAUCGGAAUCUACUUUUUCGUGGGGGAUAACGUAGGGAAACUUACGCUAAUACCGCAUACGACCUACGGGUGAAAGCAGGGGAUCUUCGGACCUUGCGCGAUUGAAUGAGCCGAUGUCGGAUUAGCUAGUUGGCGGGGUAAAGGCCCACCAAGGCGACGAUCCGUAGCUGGUCUGAGAGGAUGAUAAGCCACACUGGAACUGAGACACGGUCCAGACUCCUACGGGAGGCAGCAGUGGGGAAUAUUGGACAAUGGGGGCAAGCCUGAUCCAGCCAUACCGCGUGGGUGAAGAAGGCCUUCGGGUUGUAAAGCCCUUUUGUUGGGAAAGAAAAGCAGCAGGUUAAUACCCCGCUGUUCUGACGGUACCCAAAGAAUAAGCACCGGCUAACUUCGUG
RNAcentral lists this ribosomal RNA (492 nucleotides) under uncultured bacterium. Its description in RNAcentral is "partial 16S ribosomal RNA". It matches the Rfam family "Bacterial small subunit ribosomal RNA", at positions 29 to 507 of the family's 1533-position model. The record is from RNAcentral.